Molecule: long non-coding RNA, 254 nt
Filed under: Daucus carota (carrot)
Lineage: Eukaryota; Viridiplantae; Streptophyta; Magnoliopsida; Apiales; Apiaceae
Description: long non-coding RNA (DCAR_LNC005079)
Source: RNAcentral
UCAUUUGUAGGAGGUGCUAGUUGCCUCUCAAGAGCAGCCAUAUCAUCACCAAGAAUUCCAUUUCUCUUCUGAGGGUCCAUUGCUUCCUCUGAAUUAGGCUUUAGAUCCUUUUGCAUCAUAUACUCAGGAAGAAGAAUGUGCGACUGACUAUACUUUGCAGUAACACUCCUUUUGAUACGUAGCAUCUCCCUAAAAGUAUCUUCAUUACCAUGUUGAACCUCAAAUUCAUGCCACUUGCACCAAAAGUCUGCAUC